GCAAAACGACAGACAAAACGCUUUACAAGACGGAAGGAGACCAGAUGAGUCGAUGCACACAGAUACAAGGACCUUGAUUCUUCUAGCAAUGAUUUAAGUCUCUUUCCAUCCAUUAGUUUUCCUUUGUCUCAGGAGUCCUUAGCUGCAUUACAGGAACUGAAAAUAACGAUGCUCAGACCCAUGCAACCCCUGACCUGGGCUGGCAUUUCCACACCCUGCUGCUGUGUUUGACCUGGUUAUUCAGAUUACUUAAGCAAAGGAAAAUUGUGUGUGUGUGUGUGUGUGUGUGUGUUAACACAGCAAAAACUGUCUAUGUAUUUGUUUUAAAAAUGGCUUAGUCAGAAUGCCAUUUUUAAACCAGAAAGCCAUCUUCUAAAGAAUUUUUUUGAGAUAGUUUUUAUUCCAUUUUAAGAAUUAAAAUGAAAAAAAAAAUCCUGCUUGCAUGAAGACAGCUUUAAGACAGUGGUUAAAUAGGGUGGUUAGGGGAUCUGUUCCACCAAGAAUGUCCUUCCACUGAGGCCUGAAGCCAACGAGUCAGCUGCAGCUCUCCAGCUACGGAGUGCCUGGCCGAUUCUUCUCAGAAUGAAGGCAUCAUUGUCCUAGAUACUAGCCCUGUAGGAUCUACAUCCUUUGGACCAUUCUCAAAUAUUUAACAAACUAUUCUUCAGGAAUACAGCCAGAGAGAAACGUCCACAAGUUCUUCUGUUAAUGGACAAGUGGUGACCAGGCAGUUCCUUUAUACUACCUGAAUUUCAGAGUCCUGUAAGCUAGCACUUGGAUAAAUAUCUAGUUAUGUGCUAUGGAGCCAAACAAAAUGGACUUUCUUCAAAAUGAGAAACCUUCAGCUGGAGAGAGAGACAUCUUCCCACGUACCAUGAUACUGCAAAUCUCUGUCUCUUGACCCACUGUUCAUAUCACAGCCUUUAAAGAAAUCUAACUCUCACAUGUGCAUCCAUACAAGACUAUGAAAAUAUCAUACGGGAGGCCAAAUUUGAAGUCACCUUUAAGACAUAGAGCACCCUUCUCUGCAGAACUCUACAUAUGAACCUUUGGGAUUAUAAACCCUGAAAGCAAAACUUAAAAGCCAACAUGUUUUUCUAAUCCAUCUAAUACAGUUCUACUGUUUCAGAGCACAUGAAGUCCAAGGACAUCAAAUGCAAUGUCAGAUUUUAACUCCGUUUUUUUUUUUUUUUUUUUUUUUUUUUUUUUUUUUUUUUUGGUCUGGCGUAUUUGUUGUUUUAGCUGUAGUAUAAGGUUGGAAGCAUCAGUACACAUACAUAACAGCCCUUGAAGCAUUAUAACCAACCAGUUCCUUCAUCCUUGGCUUUGCAUUUUCAAGUUUAUGCGUGGUAGUCGAAAGAACUUUCCUAAAGGCAGGUACAUUUUAUUGUCAGUUAGGGUUUGAGGACCCUAACAAGUGCGUGGCACAGAUUACUAGCCAACAUAAGCAAAAAAUGACAUGUUGUGACUUUUAACUGAAAUUGUUUGUUUGUCUUAUUAGGCAAAGUGACAGAAUGAAAAUGUAAAACCAGUCAACGCAAUGCCUUCAAAAACUUCAAAUAAAAGGAACGAAAUCAGGAUUUGUCUUAAAUAAUUAAUCAUUAGAGGGGGUAUAAUAAAAAGAUGGGUAUGUAGGAGGUCUGUGCCUUUGCUUAGCACUGGGGCUGGGCCUUUUGGACAGAGGGCUGUCUGUGACAAGGAGCUGUACUCUGACAGUCCAACUGUGGCCUUCCUGCUUC
Long non-coding RNA from Apodemus sylvaticus (European woodmouse), 1739 nucleotides. RefSeq lists it as uncharacterized. The transcript is spliced from 3 exons. NCBI's taxonomy places the organism in Eukaryota, Metazoa, Chordata, Mammalia, Rodentia, Muridae. The record is from RefSeq and is a predicted model, not a curated record.